This 234-nucleotide ribosomal RNA is filed under the name uncultured bacterium. RNAcentral describes it as "partial 16S ribosomal RNA". It matches the Rfam family "Bacterial small subunit ribosomal RNA", at positions 57 to 305 of the family's 1533-position model. The record is from RNAcentral.
GCAAGUCGAACGAAGGCCCUAGCUUGCUAGGUGUCCUUAGUGGCGGACGGGUGAGUAACGCGUGGGAACCUGCCCUAGAGUGCGGAACAACAGUUGGAAACGACUGCUAAUACCGCAUAAUCCCUACGGGGGAAAGGCUUCGGCCGCUCUUGGAUGGUCCCGCGUCUGAUUAGCUAGUUGGUAGGGUAAUGGCUUACCAAGGCGACGAUCAGUAGCUGGUUUGAGAGGAUGAUC